RNAcentral lists this unclassified non-coding RNA (259 nucleotides) under Hevea brasiliensis (rubber tree). Lineage: Eukaryota; Viridiplantae; Streptophyta; Magnoliopsida; Malpighiales; Euphorbiaceae. The record is from RNAcentral.
GGUAUCUGGAGACAAAAGAUAAGCAAGAUCAUAAAUCUACCUUGGUGGUGUUUUUAUACGAACUGUUGGGUUGCAUGAGAUGUUGGAUAUGGAAGACCUCCACACUAAUCAAUCUGCAAAGGGAACGAUGAACAGUUGUUUGAAGGUUCAGAAGUGCCUAUGGAGCUCGGUGGAUGAAUUCAUCGGUGUUGGAGGGUUUCAGGGAGGCACUCAUAAAGCCUUGAUAAUUUGAGGGUGUUCACAUGAUAGGGAAAAAAAA